AUGAACGCUAGCGGCAGGCUUAACACAUGCAAGUCGAGGGGCAGCGCGGGAUAGCAAUAUCCUGGCGGCGACCGGCGGAAGGGUGCGUAACGCGUGAGCGACAUGCCCGUUGCCCGGGGACAACCGGUGGAAACGCCGACUAAUCCCCGAUGGGAUACGAUGCUUCAUGGCAUUGUAUUGAAAGUUACGGCGGCGACGGAUUGGCUCGCGUCCGAUUAGCUGGUUGGCGGGGUAACGGCCCACCAAGGCUGCGAUCGGUAGGGGUUCUGAGAGGAAGGCCCCCCACAAUGGGACUGAGACACGGCCCAUACUCCUACGGGAGGCAGCAGUGAGGAAUAUUGGUCAAUGGGCGGAAGCCUGAACCAGCCAUGCCGCGUGCGGGAAGGAGGCCCUAUGGGCUGUGAACCGCUUUUGCCUGGGGGCAAUAAGGGCGUCGCGCACGUCCGAUGAGAGUACCAGGCGAAUAAGCAUCGGCUAACUCCGUG
This 485-nucleotide ribosomal RNA is filed under the name uncultured bacterium. RNAcentral describes it as "partial 16S ribosomal RNA". It matches the Rfam family "Bacterial small subunit ribosomal RNA", at positions 29 to 507 of the family's 1533-position model. The record is from RNAcentral.